UCAUCAGUGUUGUUUGUGUGUCUUGGUGGCUUCCUUCACUAGUUUCCUUCUUGCACUCAGGUUUUGAGAGCUUCCUCCUCCGGACAAUUUAACUGUUUACUGGUGUAUUUUCAGC
Molecule: long non-coding RNA, 115 nt
Organism: Thalassophryne amazonica
Lineage: Eukaryota; Metazoa; Chordata; Actinopteri; Batrachoidiformes; Batrachoididae
Exons: 3
Source: RefSeq, a predicted model, not a curated record